GGCGACCCAUACUUGGUUUCAGU
RNAcentral lists this microRNA (23 nucleotides) under Rattus norvegicus (Norway rat). RNAcentral's name for it is "rno-miR-551b-3p". Its record names the gene rno-miR-551b-3p. The record is from miRBase by way of RNAcentral. Lineage: Eukaryota; Metazoa; Chordata; Mammalia; Rodentia; Muridae.